GAACGCUGGCGGCAUGCCUUACACAUGCAAGUCGAACGGCAGCACGGGAGCAAUCCUGGUGGCGAGUGGCGAACGGGUGAGUAAUAUAUCGGAACGUGCCCAGUCGUGGGGGAUAAACGCAGCGAAAGCUGUGCUAAUACCGCAUACGAUCUACGGAUGAAAGCGGGGGAUCGCAAGACCUCGCGCGAUUGGAGCGGCCGAUAUCAGAUUAGCUAGUUGGUGGGGUAAAAGCCCACCAAGGCGACGAUCUGUAGCUGGUCUGAGAGGACGACCAGCCACACUGGAACUGAGACACGGUCCAGACUCCUACGGGAGGCAGCAGUGGGGAAUUUUGGACAAUGGGCGCAAGCCUGAUCCAGCAAUGCCGCGUGCAGGAUGAAGGCCUUCGGGUUGUAAAGCUCUUUCGGCCGGGAAAAAAUCGCAUCAGUUAAUACCUGGUGUGGAUGAUGGUACCGGAAUAAGAAGCACCGGCUAACUACGUG
This 482-nucleotide ribosomal RNA is filed under the name uncultured bacterium. RNAcentral describes it as "bacterial SSU rRNA". It matches the Rfam family "Bacterial small subunit ribosomal RNA", at positions 31 to 507 of the family's 1533-position model. The record is from RNAcentral.